RNAcentral lists this ribosomal RNA (406 nucleotides) under uncultured bacterium. RNAcentral describes it as "partial 16S ribosomal RNA". It matches the Rfam family "Bacterial small subunit ribosomal RNA", at positions 30 to 526 of the family's 1533-position model. The record is from RNAcentral.
AUUGAACGCUGGCGGCAGGCCUAACACAUGCAAGUCGAACGAGUGGCGGACGGGUGAGUAAUGUCUGGGAAACUGCCUGAUGGCGGGGGAUAACUACUGGAAACGGUAGCUAAUACCGCAUACUAUCAGAUGUGCCCAGAUUGGAUUAGCUAGUUGGUGGGGUAACGGCUCACCAAGGCAACGAUCCGUAGCUGGUUUGAGAGGACGACCAGCCACACUGGAACUGAGACACGGUCCAGACUCCUACGGGAGGCAGCAGUGGGGAAUUUUGGACAAUGGGCGAAACCCUGAUGCAGCCAUCCCGCGUGUAUGAUGAAGGCCUUCGGGUUGUAAAGUACUUUUAGCGGGGAGGCGUUACCCGCAGAAGAAGCACCGGCUAACUACGUGCCAGCAGCCGCGGUAAUAC